GGCAAUGAGUAUAGUUCCGAAGGAGACGAUCGCGGUGAUUGCGCAAAGCAUCGGCAUCGCCAACCUCUCCUCCGAUGUCGCCCUCGCCCUCGCCCCCGACGUCGAAUACCGCCUCCGUGAGAUCAUGCAGGUUGUGCAUAAAACAUCGUCCUUCUCUUUAGGGUUUUGGGUUUCCAAGUUCCAGUCCCUUGAGCUUGAUUCUCUUAUUUUUCUUUUAUGUGAGCUCUAACAUGGUGAGAUGAUGCGCAGGAGGCGAUCAAGUGCAUGCGCCACUCAAAGAGGACAGUCUUGACGGCGGAGGAUGUGAACAGCGCGCUUAGUCUGAGGAACGUCGAGGUAGGUUCCAUUUGCGUGGGACUUCUAAGUUCCAAAUUUUGUUUCUUUUUCUACUGUUUUUUGGAAAACAAGAAGAUUUACUGGGUUUUAACUCGAUGGGUUUGUGAGAUUCGUGGUUACAUUGGUUCCAUUUCUUAAUGCAAGGCCACUAGAUCUGUUGAUUGUAAAGGUAGAAAUUUUAGUUUCUGGCGAUAAAAAUUUAUUCUUUCCGUGGAUUUAACGAAUUUGUUCAGGGAAUAAACACCAAUUUUCUUCUUCUUCGUAGCUCAUGAAUCCCAACUUGUUAAUCUCCUGCGGUUGACCAACAUUUAGGACCAUGAAAACGUCCAUUGUUUAAACUUUUACUUUGAGAAAUACGGUGGUUUCUUUUUUGCUUUCUAUUAGAAUCAAGUAAUUCUUUACAAUGGUUUCGUGGUUUUCUUAACAGCAUAUAAGUUCCUUUAAUAUUAUGUAGAAAGCAAAGGUAUUUGUGCUUUGAGGAUCCUGAAUUGGGUUGGGAAGCACAACAGAUAUGUUUGAAACUUGUCAAACAGAUAGUGUGCUUUCUUUCUUAGUUUUAAUUGGAUGGAGUUAAACAAUAGUUAUCUUUGAUGUGCUUGUUUAUCUCUCAGCCUAUUUAUGGAUUUGCAUCUGGGGAUCCUUUGCGGUUCAAAAGGGCUGUAGGGCACAAGGAUCUUUUCUAUAUUGAUGACAGAGAUGUAGAUUUCAAGGAGGUACGAGUAUCUUUUUUGUUGUAAUUUAUAAAUGCUCCAUGUACACUCUGUUUCUUUUAUGGGGGUUGGGAAUAUACAGGUCAUUGAUGCACCCUUACCCAAAGCACCACUUGAUACUGCUGUUGUGGCUCACUGGCUUGCUAUUGAGGGGGUCCAACCUGCGAUUCCAGAAAAUGCUCCCGUUGAAGGUUUUUUUUUUUUUUUUUUUUCACUAUGUUCAUGACCUAACUGAGAUUCUUUCUUGUUGGAGUAGCUAGUUUUCUGCAAAUUCUUCCUCAGAAAAGAUGAAAAACUAUGGUUUAUGGUUUGAUAGCUGGAUGAAAUUUAGAUCAGAAAGAAGUAUUGUGGAUCUAUCUCAUAACACCAACAUCUAAAUAAUUUAGAAUGUGUUCUAAUUUUUUCUUUUGAUUAGUUAGUUGAUCAUAGACUUGUCACAGCAUGUGACGACCACACUCUGGUAGUUCAUUAGACAGAAUUUCCGAAAUUUUAAGAUAUCUUCUAUUCCUCUUUGAAGCAAAUUGCUUAGUCGACCUGAAAUUUGAUACUUGUUUUUACAUUACUUGAAUAGGCUAACUGGAAUUAGUCCUAAUCCUUAAACUGGAAGUAGAUGAAUCAUAUAUUCAUGCCUAUAGAUAUUUAGCAGCAUCAGUUAAUAUUUCAAGUCUUACGUAAGAUUAUCAUCAUGAUAUCAUGUCUUUGAGUUCUGAUACAUGAAGAUCCUGAAGCGCACAGGAAAAUGCAGUUAAUAUUUAGCAGCAUCAGUUAAUUGAUUGCAAACAUAUGUACCACAUAGGUAUUCGUAGUUACAAAAGUUGAAUAUAUAUUGAUUGUCUAUAUGGUCACUUAUACGAGACUUAAUUGUGUAAUUUUCAUAGAGAGACCAAAAUUUUAUUCCCUUGAAACAUUAGAAAUACUGCUUAUAUGCUAUUUUCCAGGAUCGAUUUGAAGUUUCCAGUAUGCAUCCUGAGAAAGCAUGUACACGACAGAUCUAAUACCUUAUAUAAAUUUCUAAACAUUGAUGGAGUAACUAUAAAUUUCAAAACUUCACAUUCAUGUAAUGGGCACUAGUUUGUUAAUAUAUCUGUAUUGAGAUAUUUGCUAGUUACUUUAUCUUCUUUCUUGCUCCCCAAAUCACCACUACAAACUCUGGAUACUAUUUGUAGUAUUAAUUUUGGUCUUGGUUUUAUUGGAUUUCCAACCUUUAUUUGAAAUUAAUUUUUGUGCCUAUUAUUUCUAGCAAUUGUAGCCCCGUCAGAAAACAAAAAGUCUGAGAACAGCAAGGAAGACGGGCUUCUUGUUGAUCUUAAACUUCCUGUUAAGCACGUACUAUCUAGAGAACUCCAGGUACUUUUCCUUGCAGGCUUCUGAACUUUCUUGGCUUUUACUGUUACAGGUUAUUUGAGCUUCUAUGAAAGAAUUGCCUAUCAUAUUAUCUAGUUACUUUCUCAUUGCAGCUCUACUUUGACAAAAUCACUGAGCUUACAGUGACUAGGCCUGAGUCCAUCCUUUGCAAAGAAGCAUUAGUGAGUUUAGCAGUGGAUUCAGGAAUUCAUCCAUUAGUUCCAUACUUUUCAUACUUCAUUGCAGACGAGGUGAAGUUUGCUAAAUCAAUUUAUCUGUUGAAUAUAUCCUCUUAGGUCAUAGUUUAUAAUUGUUUCUAUCACAGGUUGCCCGAAGCUUAAAUGAUCUUCCUAUCUUGUUUGCUUUAAUGCGUGUCGUCCGGAGCCUUCUCCAAAAUCCACACAUUCACAUAGAGCCAUAUGUAAGUCAUCUUAUUUGAAUUGUACGUGGAGUGUUUAUUGACAUGAACUUUGAUUUAUGUUCUCCGAUCUGUUCCCAUAAUUGAGUACCAUGAGUUUUCUGCUUAGCGUCAACCUCUCCUUGCAAAACAUACACUGGACUGCUGAAAUGUUGUACAGCCAUGUACAUUCCUUCUAAUAAAGAAUAUUCUCAUCUACAGUUACAUCAGCUGAUGCCAUCGAUUAUAACAUGUGUUGUUGCCAAAAGGUUGGGGAGUAAAAUAACAGAUAAUCACUGGGAACUGAGAGACUUCUCAGCAAAUCUAGCUGCAUCAGUAUGCAAAAGGUCAGACGCUCUGCCAAAAUGUAGAACUUCAUUCUUUUCUAUUCAGUUAACAAUUUUUUAAAGAGUCUACAAGUGUUGCUAGUAACAGAAAAUAAACAGGGCUCCUCAUGCAACUCUUUUGAACACACAGAAAACAUUUAGAUAUUACAUGCAACUGAAUAAUGCCGAAACAAAACAAAAAAAAAUUUAAACAUUCCUAUGUAUGUGCUUGUAUGAACAUCUCUUUGAUUGGCUAAUCCUGUAUACCCCCUAUUCGUCUCAGAACAUCAUCUGCGAACAUCUUGCAUGCUUUAAUCCUCCCCGGAGAGCUUAACUAUUUUGAUAUACUGUAGGCACUAUGGUUAUGUGGAAAAAAGAAUACAAGAUCAGGAACAAACAUAUCUAUGUAUGGAUCAGGGAUGAGACAGUUGGGCUUAAUUUUAGAACUAGGAAUGACCUGCGGCUCAUGCUGUGCUUCUUGUGAUGAUUUUUGUGGCUUUUAAAUCUCUCCCAGCAUUGCAACGAUGGACUUGUGUUUCUAGUUUAAAAUGCACUUUUAAUUGCACCUUUCAAGAUGCAGUUUUUUUGAUCUUUUGCCAACUCAGACUAUAAAAUUACUAGUUUGCUAAGCAUAAGUAAUCAAGUGUAACUGAGAGAACAAAGUGAAAUUUGGACAUCUAUAUUAUGUCCAACAUAAUUUUCUGUAGACAAACCCACUCAGAAGUAAUUGACUUGUAGGGUUUGUACAAUAACCAAUACAUGGCUUCUGAUUGUCAGUGGUUAAUUCACUUGUUUAAGAUCCCAUGUCAUCAGAAAAUCUUUUUGUUUCAUACUGAAAAACUUAAAUAUAAACAGCCAUUAAUUUGCAUUCUUUUGUAUGCUCCAGCAAGUCAUUGCAGUUUAUCCUUCUCUGAUGGUUGUCUUAAAGGAUAGAUAAAAGUUUUGAUAUUGAUGACAGACUUCAAGUCUCGGAACAAUUUAAGCUUUUAUUCUUGCUGGAUUUAUGUCAUGACUUGACAUACACCUGAGCACUUUAGUUACAUUCUUAUAAUGAAUACUAAGCAUUUCAUAGGGUUCUGGUAACUUUUACCUCCUUAAAAGUUGUGAUAUUGAUGACAAGCAUACAUAUACGAUCUUGUAUACUAUGAAUUCAAGUCCCGGUUGAUAGUUUCUGUACUUUUAGAGGACUUUUAGAUAACUUUCUGUAACAAAUUUGCUGGAUACAACAGAUAUGGUCAUGUGUAUCACAAUCUGCAGUCCCGGUUGACAAAAACACUGAUCAAUGCUUUUCUGGAUCCAUCUAAAGCACUGACACAACAUUAUGGUGCCAUUCAAGGGCUUGCUGCAUUGGGAACUAGUGUGGUACUUCCUUUAACUGUCUUUCUUGCAAUGUGGUUCUCUCUUUCUAAUAUGAUAGAUGUAUCUUAACCUUGCUAGGUACGUCUGCUAGUUCUGCCUAACCUUGAGCCAUACCUGCAACUUCUACAUCCAGAGAUGCAACUGGAAAAGCAGAAGAAUGAGAUGAAAAGAAAAGAAGCUUGGCGAGUAUAUGGUGCCUUACUGGUACUUUUUUGUCCAUUUCUUCAGUUACAUCUCAAAGUUAUUUGUGAAGACAUGAUUUUUAUAUGCAGAUGCAAUAAAGACUUACUAGAAUGCAUAUCUCAGCGUGCUGCAGGUAAAUGUUUGUAUGACCGGCUCAAGUUGUUCCCAGGUUUGUUAUCUCCUCCAAGACAUCCAGGUUGGAGGAUUAAUGGGAGAGUUGCAACUAGCCAUUCCAGUAAGCAAUCUUGUUUAUUCUUGAAUCAGUUUUUUUUCCACCAGAUUUUCAUUCUAUAUAUCUUUAUUCUAAAUAUCUUAUGCCAUCAUCAUCUUGUGUUGCUGUUUUUGUUCCACAUGGUUUUAAAAGUUGAGUUUAUUAUUCAUACACAAUAGCACUUUGUCAGCACCAUUGGUGGUACUGAUACAGUGAGGAGUCUGCAAGAGCAAUAGUCACAUGUGCAAGAGCGAUAUGGUCUUUACCAGCUAAUCUAGGAGACAUCUUUGGAAAUAUACCAGUUGAGGUUUCGAACCCUCAAACUUUGGUAAGAGGUUACUAGGAGAAUUUUCCACUUAAGUAUGUCGGAUGAGGGUUCGAAACCACAUCCGACGUACUUAAGGAGAAAGGUGGAUUUUUGAUAGUGUAAUAAGGUUUGGAUUAUUGCAGCAUUGGUAUUGGUAAUAGCAGUAUUAAUUAUACGAGGCUCUAGAACCAAAUAAAGCAAUAACUAGAGAAUGAAAUAAUCUUAAUUUUUAAGGAAGCUUUAGAUCUAUGCGGUGUAGUCACAUUCCAGGACAACUCAGACCUUUUGGCUAAACUACAAUGGACAUGAUCAGUUUGUUUAAAAAAUCCAUUGAUGAUUCUGAAUCACUGGUGGUGAUACUAAUUUUCCUGUUCUGACUCUCGGAGACAAGACAAAGUUUACAAAAACCUAUUAGAAUUCACAGGAAUGCUGCUGUUUGUAUGGACGUUGUGCAUGUUUUGUAUGACACGGUUUUAAAUCUCGUCUAGUACUAAUGAAGUAACCUACUAGACUGGUAAGGUAUUGGUGUACUGCUCUAUCUGAUGUUGCUUGCAUGUAUAUUGUGCAUGUGUUGUCUACCACAAGGAUUUAAAUCUCGAUCUAGUAUUGGUUUUGGUAGCUUAUUGGACAGGUAAGGUAGUAGUACACCGGAUGAUAGGUCGACAUGUACUGUUCAAUAUCAUUGAAUAAAAUAACAAAAGUAAAAAUGAAUGAUAUUGAACCGAUAGCUAGUUAUAUGUUUCAGUAUUGGUGGAUUGGUAAAUAUCAGUCUGUUCUGGCCGAUAUAGUCAAUGAUUGAAAAUUUUGAUCUGAUAAUUAUAGAUUUACAGUUCCGUUUAUGUAUCUAUCGUGGAUGGCCUCCCGCUUCACAAUAAUUGUAUAUGCAUCUGACAAGGCUAAUUGUGCCAUUAUGUUAAUCACUUUGCUGCCUGAACUCAACCUCCCAUGAGCUCACUAUACAUUUUUGUUGUCUUCUUGAAGACAUGAAUUAAAGGAGAUGCAUGACUUGGUGAUCUGGCACAAACAAACUAGUCUAACAAUAGCUGCUUCUAUUACUGCUUUUGUUUCUACUUGAAUUUAUCUUCUCUCCAAAAAUUAAAUAUCAUGGGACAUUCUCAUAGUUGAGCGUGAUUCGCGUCGUCAAAUAGCUUGCAGAUGCCACUGUACUUUCCCUAAGAGUUAUUUGUUUUCGUUAUGUAACUAGACAAGCGCAUGUCAAGCACCAACCUCUCAUCGCAGCAGCCACCAUUCAAGAAGGUUGCAGCUGAUGGACCUACAGGUGCAAUGCAACCCAUUGCCAUGACAGCCAACUUGCAGGGUGCACCGGAUGGAUUCCCUACACGGUCAUCUGGAACAGGUGUUGGGCAACCUUCUACCUCGGGGCAGGUUCCAAUGAAGACGACCGGAGGCAGACAAGAGAAGGGUGGCAGCGUGGCGCCGAAGGGAUCUGCUGUCUUGGCCCAGGCUUGGAAAGAGGAUCUGGAUGCGGGACGUCUUUUGGCGUCUCUAUUUCAGUUGUUUGGUGAAGGUGUAUUCUC
This 6711-nucleotide long non-coding RNA is filed under the name Musa acuminata (dwarf banana). RNAcentral's name for it is "long non-coding RNA (MACU_LNC003787)". Lineage: Eukaryota; Viridiplantae; Streptophyta; Magnoliopsida; Zingiberales; Musaceae. The record is from RNAcentral.